RNAcentral lists this transfer RNA (72 nucleotides) under Epichloe festucae E2368. RNAcentral's name for it is "tRNA-Arg (ACG) (tRNA-Arg-ACG-2-1)". It matches the Rfam family "tRNA". From Rfam's summary of the family: Transfer RNA (tRNA) molecules are approximately 80 nucleotides in length. RNAcentral also lists the same sequence under 1 other name. Lineage: Eukaryota; Fungi; Ascomycota; Sordariomycetes; Hypocreales; Clavicipitaceae. The record is from RNAcentral.
GGCCUUGUGGCUCAAUGGCAGAGCGUCUGACUACGAAUCAGAAGGUCGCAGGUUCGACCCCUGUCUAGGUCA